Molecule: ribosomal RNA, 227 nt
Filed under: uncultured bacterium
Lineage: Bacteria
Description: partial 16S ribosomal RNA
Rfam family: Bacterial small subunit ribosomal RNA
Source: RNAcentral
UGAGCAAUCUGCCCUUCUCUUCGGAAUAAGCGUGGGAAACCGCGUCUAAUGCCGAAUACGACCUCCUUUCGCAUGAUCGGAGGUGGAAAGCUCCGGCGGAGAAGGAUGAGCUCGCGGCCUAUCAGCUAGUUGGUGGGGUAAAAGCCCACCAAGGCGACGAUCCGUAGCUGGUCUGAGAGGAUGAUCAGCCACACUGGGACUGAGACGCGGCCCAGACCUGUACGGGA